This 254-nucleotide ribosomal RNA is filed under the name uncultured bacterium. RNAcentral describes it as "partial 16S ribosomal RNA". It matches the Rfam family "Bacterial small subunit ribosomal RNA", at positions 524 to 776 of the family's 1533-position model. The record is from RNAcentral.
UACGUAGGGUGCGAGCGUUGUCCGGAAUUACUGGGCGUAAAGAGCUUGUAGGUGGUUUGUCGCGUUGUUCGUGAAAUCUCACGGCUUAACUGUGAGCGUGCGGGCGAUACGGGCAGACUAGAGUACUGCAGGGGGAGACUGGAAUUCCUGGUGUAGCGGUGGAAUGCGCAGAUAUCAGGAGGAACACCGGUGGCGAAGGCGGGUCUCUGGGCAGUAACUGACGCUGAGAAGCGAAAGCGUGGGGAGCGAACAGG